GGACUGGUUGAGUAAUACUCUCAAUUCAGGAAGUGGCUAACUUUGUCAAAGGAAGUCCUAACGCCAGCAUCUCAAUGCAUGCCACACAGUACUGAUCUUAAUUGUUGUUGCCAUUGAUUUAUGCUUGGUUCAUAUUUCUUCCUUGUGAUGUUCUUUAUUCUUAUUUUCCUUUUAUCAUUUAUGGAGUUGGACUUUUAGUAAUAACGGCUGAAGAUUUAGUAUUUUACAAAUGGUUUUGGUGGAAAAAAAGG
Molecule: unclassified non-coding RNA, 251 nt
Filed under: Hevea brasiliensis (rubber tree)
Lineage: Eukaryota; Viridiplantae; Streptophyta; Magnoliopsida; Malpighiales; Euphorbiaceae
Source: RNAcentral